GGUCUACACCAUACCACCCUGAACACGCCUGAUCUCAUCUGAUCUUAGAAGCUAAGCAGGGUCGGGUCUGAUUAGUACUUGGAUGGGAGGAAAACACACAUGAUCU
This 106-nucleotide ribosomal RNA is filed under the name Octodon degus (degu). The record is from RNAcentral. Lineage: Eukaryota; Metazoa; Chordata; Mammalia; Rodentia; Octodontidae.